Molecule: non-coding RNA, 99 nt
Filed under: Lacrimispora celerecrescens
Lineage: Bacteria; Bacillati; Bacillota; Clostridia; Lachnospirales; Lachnospiraceae
Description: Clostridium celerecrescens Azaaromatic sequence
Rfam family: azaaromatic riboswitch aptamer (yjdF RNA)
Source: RNAcentral
UAAUGCAAAGAUAAAAACACAGUUCCGGUUGGUAGUCCGGACGCAGUGAAAGCUGUCAGUAACCUGCCUCCUUGGUUGUCCGUUCUUUGUAAGGCAUUU